Thunnus maccoyii (southern bluefin tuna) is the source of this 1165-nucleotide long non-coding RNA. RefSeq lists it as uncharacterized. The record is from RefSeq and is a predicted model, not a curated record. The transcript has 4 exons. Lineage: Eukaryota; Metazoa; Chordata; Actinopteri; Scombriformes; Scombridae.
GCAAGGAUCUAGUCAGGAGAGAACAAUGCAACCUGCCAGCUUCACAAGGACCACGUGGCUCGGCGUCUGCAGUGUGAUAUGUGUUAAGGCCAUUUGACCAUUUGAAGUUGCGUGUAUAUCCUUACCAGAUGGAGCCGGGCCAGACAAUGCAGACUUCAUGGCUGUUGACUUCACUGACAUGCAAUUUGCAAAGCGGAGAGGAACGUAUGGAGCAUGCAAAGAGGAAAAAAGUCAAUGGGAGGAGAAAGGGGAUGCUGAAAGGUGACUCCAUGUGUGUGGUCCUCCCCUGUCAGAUGCCCUAUAGGGAGGCGUGCAUGCACCAUGUUGAUAUUCAAAAGCCUUGGAUGUUUGUUUAAACUGCCCUCAUUCUUGUGUCAGUACAAAGUGUGGGCCCUAAUCCUUUAAUGAAUGUCUUCUUCUGGGGCUUCACAUGGCAGCACAUUCCAACCUCGGGACAGUGAACAGCUGGAUGACUGUGGCGCAGGGUGUUUUAUUUUAUCCUGCAUUGUCAGAUGUUCGUGUUUGAAAAGCACAAUUUAUCUUCGUACAUAUCAGGGGUGACAGGAGCGGCAAACUGAAGGCUCACAAAAGAGAGAAAAUCAAAUCAGUUACUGGACAGACAUCAGUUUAGCAACUCACUUAUUACUGAUCAUAAAACCUACACUGGAAACUUCCUUUUAGUGUUUUUGCGGUUCUGGAUGACUUACAACACGUUUGACAGUUUCAUUUGAGAGUGGACAGGCCUUCAUUUGAAGAUCUGGUUUGAUUGAUGCAGGCAAAGAUGGAAAAAAGUACCAAGAUAUUUUACUCAAGAAGAAUAAUUGCUUCCCCAGUCUUAUGGACACAAGUCAGGGUGAAAGUAAUUGCCUAGAACAGUACUGCAGUGAAUGUAAAUCAUUUGUGUAAAAGGUUUUAUUCUUAUUGGGAACCCCAUUAGCUGACACUUCAGUGGCCGCAAAUCAUCUUGGGGUCAACAUGUCAAUUUCUUGCACAUUUCAACAUAAUUUUUGGUAAUUGUUAUCAGCUAAAGGAAUGUGAAUGUUAUAGCUUUCUCAUAUCAGAAUGUUAAGUCCACAAUAAAUGCUUUACUUCAAAAACUUACUGUACUUGCUAUUCUGCCGAAUACAAGAGCACAGCAGAAUAUUCUACUGAAGAAAAUGAUAAA